Molecule: ribosomal RNA, 80 nt
Filed under: Escherichia coli
Lineage: Bacteria; Pseudomonadati; Pseudomonadota; Gammaproteobacteria; Enterobacterales; Enterobacteriaceae
Description: partial 16S ribosomal RNA
Rfam family: Bacterial small subunit ribosomal RNA
Source: RNAcentral
AAAUUGAAGAGUUUGAUCAUGGCUCAGAUUGAACGCUGGCGGCAGGCCUAACACAUGCAAGUCGAACGGUAACAGAAAGA